UAUUUUGUAAAGUUGUUCUAGUUUUGUAACUAAAAUGGUUUGGCAGUGAGCGAUUCUUAUUAGGGGAAUAUGCAUAGUGAAGGAUGGUCCACCUAUUAGUUUACUCUUUUUAUGUUGGUGUAUGUCUGGUUUGAUAUUAUUGUUGAAUAAUUUAAGUUUGUGUAGUUUUAGUUAAGCUAAGUCUAUGUGCUGCUUAUUGGAGUUUUUGUGUGUUACAUUAAUAAGGGUGUUAUUGUAAGAUGAUGUGAUUUAGA
RNAcentral lists this ribosomal RNA (254 nucleotides) under Echinococcus granulosus. Its description in RNAcentral is "partial small subunit ribosomal RNA". Lineage: Eukaryota; Metazoa; Platyhelminthes; Cestoda; Cyclophyllidea; Taeniidae. The record is from RNAcentral.